ACAGGGAUUGCCUCAGUAACGGCGAGUGAAGCGGCAACAGCUCAAAUUUGAAAUCUGGCUCUUUCAGGGUCCGAGUUGUAAUUUGUAGAGGAUGUUUCGGGUGUGGCUCCGGUCUAAGUUCCUUGGAACAGGACGUCAUAGAGGGUGAGAAUCCCGUAUGUGACUGGUAGCCUAUGCUCAUGUGAAACUCCUUCGACGAGUCGAGUUGUUUGGGAAUGCAGCUCAAAAUGGGUGGUAAAUUUCAUCUAAAGCUAAAUAUUGGCCAGAGACCGAUAGCGCACAAGUAGAGUGAUCGAAAGAUGAAAAGCACUUUGGAAAGAGAGUUAAACAGUACGUGAAAUUGUUGAAAGGGAAGCGCUUGCAACCAGACUUGCAUGUAGCUGAUCAUCCGGUGUUCUCACCGGUGCACUCAGUUGCGUUCAGGCCAGCAUCGGUUUCGACGGUUGGAUAAAGGCCUUGGGAAUGUAGCUUCUUUCGGGGAGUGUUAUAGCCCAGGGUGCAAUGCAGCCUGUUGGGACCGAGGACCGCGCUUCGGCUAGGAUGCUGGCGUAAUGGUUGUAAGCGACCCGUCUUGAAACACGGACCAAGGAGUCUAACAUCUAUGCGAGUGUUUGGGUGUCAAACCCAUACGCGUAAUGAAAGUGAACGGAGGUGAGAACCCUUAAGGGUGCAUCAUCGACCGAUCCUGAUGUCUUCGGAUGGAUUUGAGUAAGAGCAUAGCUGUUGGGACCCGAAAGAUGGUGAACUAUGCCUGAAUAGGGUGAAGCCAGAGGAAACUCUGGUGGAGGCUCGCAGCGGUUCUGACGUGCAAAUCGAUCGUCAAAUUUGGGUAUAGGGGCGAAAGACUAAUCGAACCAUCUAGUAGCU
Molecule: ribosomal RNA, 867 nt
Filed under: Allantophomopsis cytisporea
Lineage: Eukaryota; Fungi; Ascomycota; Leotiomycetes; Phacidiales; Phacidiaceae
Description: eukaryotic LSU rRNA
Rfam family: Eukaryotic large subunit ribosomal RNA
Source: RNAcentral